This is a long non-coding RNA of Gossypium arboreum, 1483 nucleotides long. RefSeq lists it as uncharacterized. The record is from RefSeq and is a predicted model, not a curated record. The transcript is spliced from 3 exons. NCBI's taxonomy places the organism in Eukaryota, Viridiplantae, Streptophyta, Magnoliopsida, Malvales, Malvaceae.
GCAGAACAUAAAUCGACAGAAAAACUAAAAGCAAAACUAAAAAACUUAGGCCUGAAAUCCUUUCCUCUCCUUUUGCAUGAAGAACACUUAUCGGUACCAGUCGAUUGAGAGACUAAUCUUCCCACAAAAAUCACCCUUUAAAAUCUCAGUCUCCGUUAAAAUUACGAGUUCUUCGGACCAACAUACUAUCACAACGUCCGGACUCGACUUUGCCAUUUCAACUCCGUUAGAUUAUACUUCCUCUAUCAUGGUCAAUCAGUCUGACCACCGCGAGCGGAGCUUCCUCAAUCUAGUAUUGGGGGUUUUCGUGUUGUCUUCCUUCUAGCGCCAUUUCGUGAGCCGCUUCGUUGGCCCCUCGAGGUACGUACUCAAACCGUAAACUUCUAAACCUAUGACCUCUCCCUUUGAUUUCUUUAAUCAGGCUGCAAAUGCUCGACUUAUCAUCCUCAUUCGAGUUUAGCUUUCGGAUUAUGGUCAAUGCAUCACCUUUCACAAUAAUGUCCUGAAAUCCCAUUUCCUCCGCCAUGGUAACUGCUUGCAGACACGCCCUUGCUUCCGCCAUCGUUGAAUCUGGAAUGUUCUCCCAAGGAAAGCCACUGUUUCCAAUUGGGGAUGCUACUGCAGGUUGCGUCUGUCACUCCUAACCGUCUCAAGAUCUGCUGUGUGAAAGAACAAUCCCGAAAUAGAUGGCUCACCGUUUCCUCUUCAGCUUGACACACCGGGCAUAGUGCAUUAGUUCCCAACCUUCGAAGUCCUAGGUUAUAUAACGUGGGCAAAAAAUCAUUGGCUAUUCGCCACAUAAGGAUACGAAUUUUGCUUGGUAUAUUAAGACCCCAUAGCUUUGUAUAGAAAGUGGUAGGAAUAGUCUGUAUGUAGUCUAGAACUUCUGCUUGUAUCGAUCCAUUUGUAGCCACUUUUAACUGUAUACUGCCCUGUAUUAUCUCCUCGCCAAAUCCGCUGGUCAUGAGGUCGACUACUCACUAAGGGGAUUGAAAGAAUGCUCAUUAACUGCUCCUCUCCAAAUAAGGAUCUGAUAACGUCUUGCUUCCAGGCCUCAGUACCCAGUUAUCAUUCCGAACGUUAAUUCCCCAUUCCCAACUCUCCACCCCAGACCCUCCUCAAGGACUUGUCUAGCACUCCAUAUACUUUGCCAGGUAAACGACGGGUAAGACCCUAACCUAGCACUCAUAAAAUCCCCUCUUGGAAAAUAUUUUACUUUCAUGACUCGAGCAAAUAGACAUUGAGGUUGCAUAAAGAUUUUCCAACCCUGCUUCGCUAACAUGGCUAGAUUAAAAUUUUCUAAAUCCUUAAAAUCGAGACCUCCCUUCGCUUUAGGGAUACACAAAUCACUCCACUUGCACCAAUAUAUGCCUUUAUUGGUUUUGGGAUUCCUCCACUAGAAUUUACUCAUAAGACUCUCAAGUUCUCGACAGAGCGAAGUUGGCAGUGUAAAAUACUGCAUUGCAUAAAUCGGAAUGGCUUG